RNAcentral lists this ribosomal RNA (253 nucleotides) under uncultured bacterium. RNAcentral's name for it is "partial 16S ribosomal RNA". It matches the Rfam family "Bacterial small subunit ribosomal RNA", at positions 524 to 776 of the family's 1533-position model. The record is from RNAcentral.
UACGAAGGGAGCUAGCGUUGCUCGGAAUCACUGGGCGUAAAGCGCACGUAGGCGGCUUACUAAGUCAGGGGUGAAAUCCUGGAGCUCAACUCCAGAACUGCCUUUGAUACUGGUGAGCUUGAGUCCGGAAGAGGUGAGUGGAACUGCGAGUGUAGAGGUGAAAUUCGUAGAUAUUCGCAAGAACACCAGUGGCGAAGGCGGCUCACUGGUCCGGUACUGACGCUGAGGUGCGAAAGCGUGGGGAGCAAACAGG